CACCGGCGGUUCGAUGCGAGACCCGGGGCGAAUCUGUCUCCUACAUCUGCUAUCCAGGGAUCUGCCUCUGUUCCGGGAGUGCACGCCCGCUCGUCGGGAAGCCCAAUGGAUUAUCGUGGAACCCACCUACGCAACGCGUAGGGGAUAGACUGCCUCACGGUCGGACGGUCGUGCU
Molecule: non-coding RNA, 175 nt
Filed under: Myxococcota bacterium
Lineage: Bacteria; Pseudomonadati; Myxococcota
Description: 6S RNA
Rfam family: 6S / SsrS RNA
About the family: E. coli 6S RNA was the first non coding RNA to be sequenced, but its function was unknown until recently. It consists of 184 nucleotides that fold into an extended hairpin structure with a large single-stranded internal bulge. The 6S RNA specifically associates with RNA polymerase holoenzyme containing the sigma70 specificity factor.
Source: RNAcentral